Molecule: ribosomal RNA, 205 nt
Filed under: Escherichia fergusonii
Lineage: Bacteria; Pseudomonadati; Pseudomonadota; Gammaproteobacteria; Enterobacterales; Enterobacteriaceae
Description: partial 23S ribosomal RNA
Rfam family: Bacterial large subunit ribosomal RNA
Source: RNAcentral
UGUGAGGCAUGCUGGAGGUAUCAGAAGUGCGAAUGCUGACAUAAGUAACGAUAAAGCGGGUGAAAAGCCCGCUCGCCGGAAGACCAAGGGUUCCUGUCCAACGUUAAUCGGGGCAGGGUGAGUCGACCCCUAAGGCGAGGCCGAAAGGCGUAGUCGAUGGGAAACAGGUUAAUAUUCCUGUACUUGGUGUUACUGCGAAGGGGGG